UACGGGGGGGGGCAAGCGUUGUUCGGAAUUACUGGGCGUAAAGGGCCAGUAGGCGGCCAACUAAGUCGGAUGUGAAAUCCCCAGGCUCAACUUGGGAACUGCAUCCGAUACUGGAUGGCUUGAAUUCGGGAGAGGGAUGCAGAGUUCCAGGUGUAGCGGUGAAAUGCGUAGAUAUCAGGAGGAACACCGGUGGCGAAGGCGGGGUCCUGGGCCAGUACUGACGCUGAGACGCGAAAGCGUGGGGAGCGAACAGG
Molecule: ribosomal RNA, 254 nt
Filed under: uncultured bacterium
Lineage: Bacteria
Description: partial 16S ribosomal RNA
Rfam family: Bacterial small subunit ribosomal RNA
Source: RNAcentral